AAAACCCAAAAAAAAUAAUUUAAAAAUAUUCAAUUGAUAAAGAAAUAAAAAUUAUUAAAUAAAAACAAAAAAAAACAACAAAUGUAGUUAUUAUUUCGAAACAAAUUCUAAAUAACAACUCACAGUAAGAAUUGCCUAAAAGAAACACUUUCAUAUUCAAACUCCCCUUUAACAGACCGACUUUUUGAAUAUAAUAUUAUAUAUUUUUUUAUUAAAUUAAAUGAUUUUAAUUGUUUCUUUUGUUUUAUCCAAUUAGGAAGGUACAUUAUCAGUCUGGAAUCGCGAUGCCUCUGAUUACUUCAGUACGACACGUAUCCGAGAUACACUACGUAGGAUAUUAAAUAUACCUGUUACCGUGCCAAUGGAGUAUAAGAUACACUGUGAUAGCCUUAAAUAUGUAGCAAUUAAUAAAGGCCCUGCAACAAAAAGCUGAAAUUCAGUGAAUUUGUGUUAAAACAAAAUUAAAAAAAAACUACAAAACAAUAUCAACUGAUAUAUAAAAAAAAGAUAUUUAUCCCAAAAA
This is an RNA transcript of Lucilia cuprina (Australian sheep blowfly), 523 nucleotides long. RefSeq lists it as uncharacterized. The record is from RefSeq and is a predicted model, not a curated record. Lineage: Eukaryota; Metazoa; Arthropoda; Insecta; Diptera; Calliphoridae. The transcript is spliced from 2 exons.